This 653-nucleotide ribosomal RNA is filed under the name Bacillus sp. SCULCB PT-3. RNAcentral describes it as "bacterial SSU rRNA". It matches the Rfam family "Bacterial small subunit ribosomal RNA", at positions 62 to 696 of the family's 1533-position model. The record is from RNAcentral. Lineage: Bacteria; Bacillati; Bacillota; Bacilli; Caryophanales; Bacillaceae.
UCGAGCGGAUCGAUGGGAGCUUGCUCCCUGAGAUCAGCGGCGGACGGGUGAGUAACACGUGGGUAACCUGCCUGUAAGACUGGGAUAACUCCGGGAAACCGGGGCUAAUACCGGAUAACUCAGUUCCUCGCAUGAGGAACGGUUGAAAGGUGGCUUUUAGCUACCACUUACAGAUGGACCCGCGGCGCAUUAGCUAGUUGGUGAGGUAACGGCUCACCAAGGCGACGAUGCGUAGCCGACCUGAGAGGGUGAUCGGCCACACUGGGACUGAGACACGGCCCAGACUCCUACGGGAGGCAGCAGUAGGGAAUCUUCCGCAAUGGACGAAAGUCUGACGGAGCAACGCCGCGUGAGUGAAGAAGGUUUUCGGAUCGUAAAACUCUGUUGUUAGGGAAGAACAAGUGCCGUUCGAAUAGGGCGGCACCUUGACGGUACCUAACCAGAAAGCCACGGCUAACUACGUGCCAGCAGCCGCGGUAAUACGUAGGUGGCAAGCGUUGUCCGGAAUUAUUGGGCGUAAAGCGCGCGCAGGUGGUUUCUUAAGUCUGAUGUGAAAGCCCACGGCUCAACCGUGGAGGGUCAUUGGAAACUGGGGAACUUGAGUGCAGAAGAGGAAAGUGGAAUUCCAAGUGUAGCGGUGAAAUGCGCAGAUA